RNAcentral lists this transfer RNA (28 nucleotides) under Gyrinops sp. Persoon 2. RNAcentral's name for it is "partial tRNA-Phe". The record is from RNAcentral. Lineage: Eukaryota; Viridiplantae; Streptophyta; Magnoliopsida; Malvales; Thymelaeaceae. RNAcentral also lists the same sequence under 1 other name.
CGGGAUAGCUCAGCUGGUAGAGCAGAGG